UGAUGAUGCAUUAGAUGUAAUACCAAAUAAUAAACAUCAAGCAAAUAAACACAUGUUACAAAUGUUUCAACCUUCGCAACGUAUGAAAAAAGAGACAAGAUUAAAAGAGGAAUGGAAAAUAUAUAAUGAAUAUAUUUAUGUAAAUACAAAAAAGUUAAAAAGAUAUAUUAAAUAUCAUUUAUUAUAUAUAAUUAAAAAUCAUAAAAAAUUGUUUUUUCCUUUACAUGUGUAUGUAAUAAAUGCCAAAUCAAAUGAGGAUGAAUAUUUUUUAUUUAUAAAAUGGGGAACAAUAAAAAAUUCAUAUAUUUAUUCAUCUUAUAGUUCGCUUAAUCGAGUAUCGAAAAUGAAAGAGUACUUUAAGAAGAUUGAUGAAAGAAUGUUACAAGUGUUAGAAAAACCAAAAGAUAUAUUUUUAUAUAAUAUUAAUGAUAACAACAAUGACAAUAUUCAUUAUAACACUAUGAAUUUUUAUGACAACAAUCCAUAUAUGUACAAUAGUAGUACAACUGGUGCUAAUAAUAUGAAUUUUAAUAAUAGUAAUAACAGGAGUUCAUUUAAUCCUUUGACUGGUAGAAAUACGUAUUUAGAUAAAGACUAUUUAUCAGAACGAGGUGGUACUUAUAUGUCUCAUAAUGAUAGAAAUAAAUUAAAAGGAUAUAAAGGUGAUUAUUUAAAUAUAAAAAAAGGUUUUAACAAUCCGAUACAUACUGCUACUAGUACUAGUACUACUGCUGAUAGUAAUACUUUUACUACUAAUGUUAUGAAUCCAAAUGAUGAUUAUUUAAAUAAAACUCCAAUCAAAAAUAUGUCUAGGAAUUUUUAUACUUCUCCUAUAGGUGCUACUAUAAAUCCGAACAUAGUAAAUGAUUCAACAAUACCAUAUAAUUACAAACAAAAUAGUAAAUAUGAUAAAAAUGAAAUAUAUUACGAUUAUUAUAACAACCUUCCAAGUAGUAUUCAUAGUAAGAAUAAUAAUUAUAAUAGUAAUAGAGAUAUAGGUAGAGAUGUAGGUAGUAGAGGUUAUUCUAAUGAUCCACACGAUAUUAAGAAACAAGGUGAAGAAAGUAAAAUAGGAGGUUGGAAUUAUUUGAAAAAAUUAAACUUAACUGGUAAAAAGAAUAAUGAUGAUAUAUUAAAUGAUGCAUAUAGGACUAGUAAGUAUACAUAUAAUAAUAAAACAGAUAAUAUUAAAAUGGAACGUAAAACCGCACACACAUAUAAUUUAGAAAAUGAUUUUAUGUUAAGUGAUAUAAAAGGUGGUAGUAGUAGUAGUAUUUAUAAUAUGUCUCCUCCACCUAGUAGUAGUAUGAGAUUUAAUAGGUUACAUGAUGUAUCGGAUCAUUCUAAAAUAAUAAACAAUGAAAAUAUAAAUAUUAAUGAACCUGUAAAUAUUAAUGAACCUGUAAAUAUAAACGAUUUAUAUUUGAUAAAUAAUAAUAAUAAUAAUAAUAGUCAUACGAGACGUUACACUUCUAAUGAUACGAAUCGGUAUGAUUCUUUAUUAAAAAAUGAUAUAUAUAAUUUUCGAAAUCCAAAUAUUGAUACGAAUAAUGAGAAUAGUCAUAGUAAAUAUAUAUACAGUAAUGACAUAUAUAAAACAACGAACAAUAUUAAUAAUUUUACAAACAAUUUAGAUUAUAAAUCAUAUGAUAAACUGGGUACUCUUUAUAACAAUAGAGAUCGUCCGGACAUAAAUCAAAUGUCUAAUGAAAACCAUUUGAGAAGUAGAUAUAGAAAUUUAAAUUUAAGUGAUCGAUAUGAUGAUAGUACAAGUAAAUAUAUAUAGAGAAUGUAUAUAUGCACACGCACAUAUUAUACAUAUAUAUAUAUAUAUAUAUAUAUAUAUAUAUAUAUAUAUAUAUAUAUAUAAUAUGCCUUAGUUGUAGGUUUCCAUUUGUAUGGAACUGCAAGAGCUUAUAUUUUUUUAUUGUUCAAUUAUAAUGUGUUUUGUUUGUGUUUGUUUUUUUUUUUCUUUCCUCUUCUUUCCUCUUCUUUUCUUUUCUUUUCUGUUUUUUUUUUUUUUUUUUUUUUUUUUGUUUUGUUACUAUGUUUUACCAUACUAUAUAUAUAAUACCUUUUUUGCUAUAUAUUAAUAUAUAUGCAAAACUCAAAAAUUUUAUUAUAAUGUGUUGCAUUGUUUGUUCAUUCUUAUAUGUGCGUAUGUAGGCUUAUGUAGGCGUAUGUAGGCUUAUGUAGGCUUAUGUAG
Molecule: long non-coding RNA, 2206 nt
Filed under: Piliocolobus tephrosceles (Ugandan red Colobus)
Lineage: Eukaryota; Metazoa; Chordata; Mammalia; Primates; Cercopithecidae
Description: lncRNA (ENSPTEG00000025542.1)
Source: RNAcentral